UAGCCUAGUGGUUAAGGUUAUGGAUCGCCAAUCCGGAGACGACGGGUUCGAUUCCCGU
Non-coding RNA from Aedes albopictus (Asian tiger mosquito), 58 nucleotides. Lineage: Eukaryota; Metazoa; Arthropoda; Insecta; Diptera; Culicidae. The record is from Rfam.